GUCUACAUCUGUGCCACCCUGAACAUGCCUGAUCUCAUCUGAUCUCGGAAGCUAAGCAGGGUUGGGCCUGGUUAGUACUUGGAUGGGAGACCACCUUGGAAUACCAGGUGCUGUAGGCA
RNAcentral lists this ribosomal RNA (119 nucleotides) under Pteropus alecto (black flying fox). Lineage: Eukaryota; Metazoa; Chordata; Mammalia; Chiroptera; Pteropodidae. The record is from RNAcentral.